This 254-nucleotide ribosomal RNA is filed under the name uncultured bacterium. RNAcentral describes it as "partial 16S ribosomal RNA". It matches the Rfam family "Bacterial small subunit ribosomal RNA", at positions 524 to 776 of the family's 1533-position model. The record is from RNAcentral.
UACGUAGGGUGCGAGCGUUGUCCGGAAUUACUGGGCGUAAAGAGCUCGUAGGUGGUUUGUCGCGUCGUCUGUGAAAUACCAAUGCUUAACGUUGGUCGUGCAGGCGAUACGGGCAUUACUUGAGUGCUGUAGGGGUAACUGGAAUUCCUGGUGUAGCGGUGAAAUGCGCAGAUAUCAGGAGGAACACCGAUGGCGAAGGCAGGUUACUGGGCAGUUACUGACGCUGAGGAGCGAAAGCAUGGGUAGCGAACAGG